UACGGGGGGGGCAAGCGUUGUUCGGAAUUACUGGGCGUAAAGGGCUCGUAGGUGGCCAACUAAGUCAGACGUGAAAUCCCUCGGCUUAACCGGGGAACUGCAUCUGAUACUGGAUGGCUUGAGAUUGGGAGAGGGAUGCGGAAUUCCAGGUGUAGCGGUGGAAUGCGUAGAGAUCCGGAGGAACACCAGCGGCGAAGGCGGCAUCCUGGACUGGUCCUGACACUCAGGAGCGAAAGCGUGGGGAGCGAUCCGG
This 253-nucleotide ribosomal RNA is filed under the name uncultured bacterium. Its description in RNAcentral is "partial 16S ribosomal RNA". It matches the Rfam family "Bacterial small subunit ribosomal RNA", at positions 524 to 776 of the family's 1533-position model. The record is from RNAcentral.